AAAACGGAGAGUUUGAUCCUGGCUCAGGAUGAACGCUGGCGGUAUGCUUAACACAUGCAAGUCGAACGGGAUGCUUAGGCAUCUAGUGGCGGACGGGUGAGUAACGCGUGAGAAUCUGGCUCCAGGUCGGGGAUAACAGUUGGAAACGACUGCUAAUACCGGAUGUGCCGAGAGGUGAAAGAUUUAUCGCCUGGAGAUGAGCUCGCGUCUGAUUAGCUAGUUGGUGGUGUAAGGGACCACCAAGGCGUCGAUCAGUAGCUGGUCUGAGAGGAUGAUCAGCCACACUGGGACUGAGACACGGCCCAGACUCCUACGGGAGGCAGCAGUGGGGAAUUUUCCGCAAUGGGCGAAAGCCUGACGGAGCAAUACCGCGUGAGGGAGGAAGGCUCUUGGGUCGUAAACCUCUUUUCUCAAGGAAGAAGAAAGUGACGGUACUUGAGGAAUAAGCAUCGGCUAACUCCGUGCCAGCAGCCGCGGUAAUACGGAGGAUGCAAGCGUUAUCCGGAAUGAUUGGGCGUAAAGGGUCUGCAGGUGGAACUGAAAGUCUGCUGUUAAAGAGUUUGGCUUAACCAAAUAAAAGCGGUGGAAACUACAGAACUAGAGUGUGGUAGGGGCAAAAGGAAUUCCUGGUGUAGCGGUGAAAUGCGUAGAUAUCAGGAAGAACACCGGUGGCGAAAGCGUUUUGCUAGACCAUAACUGACACUGAGGGACGAAAGCUAGGGGAGCGAAUGGGAUUAGAUACCCCAGUAGUCCUAGCCGUAAACGAUGGAUACUAGGCGUGGCUUGUAUCGACCCGAGCCGUGCCGGAGCUAACGCGUUAAGUAUCCCGCCUGGGGAGUACGCACGCAAGUGUGAAACUCAAAGGAAUUGACGGGGGCCCGCACAAGCGGUGGAGUAUGUGGUUUAAUUCGAUGCAACGCGAAGAACCUUACCAAGACUUGACAUCCUGCGAAUCCCAGUGAAAGCUGGGAGUGCCUUAGGGAGCGCAGAGACAGGUGGUGCAUGGCUGUCGUCAGCUCGUGUCGUGAGAUGUUGGGUUAAGUCCCGCAACGAGCGCAACCCUCGUUUUUAGUUGCCAGCAUUAAGUUGGGCACUCUAGAGAGACUGCCGGUGACAAACCGGAGGAAGGUGAGGAUGACGUCAAGUCAGCAUGCCCCUUACGUCUUGGGCUACACACGUACUACAAUGCUACGGACAGAGGGCAGCGAGCCAGGGAUGGCAAGCGAAUCCAGAAACCGUAGCUCAGUUCAGAUCGAAGGCUGCAACUCGCCUUCGUGAAGGAGGAAUCGCUAGUAAUUGCAGGUCAGCAUACUGCAGUGAAUUCGUUCCCGGGCCUUGUACACACCGCCCGUCACACCAUGGAAGUUGGUCACGCCCGAAGUCAUUACCCCAACCGAAAGGAGGGGGAUGCCUAAGGUAGGACUGGUGACUGGGGUGAAGUCGUAACAAGGUAGCCGUACCGGAAGGUGUGGCUGGAUCACCUCCUUUU
This 1489-nucleotide ribosomal RNA is filed under the name Cylindrospermopsis curvispora GIHE-G1. RNAcentral describes it as "bacterial SSU rRNA". It matches the Rfam family "Bacterial small subunit ribosomal RNA". Lineage: Bacteria; Bacillati; Cyanobacteriota; Cyanophyceae; Nostocales; Aphanizomenonaceae. The record is from RNAcentral.